Molecule: ribosomal RNA, 208 nt
Filed under: uncultured bacterium
Lineage: Bacteria
Description: partial 16S ribosomal RNA
Rfam family: Bacterial small subunit ribosomal RNA
Source: RNAcentral
AAUGAACGCUGGCGGCGCGCCUAAUACAUGCAAGUCGAGCGAGAAGACGUAGCAAUACGUCUGUAAAGCGGCGAACGGGUGAGGAAUACAUGGGUAACCUACCCUCGAGUGGGGAAUAACUAGCCGAAAGGUUAGCUAAUACCGCGUACGCUUCUUGGACUUCGGUUCAGGGAGGGAAAGCGGUACCGUGGGUAUCGCGCUCUUGGAU